CCUACGUGUGGCAGCAGUGGGGACUCUUGGGCAAUGGGCGCAAGCCUGACCCAGCAACGCCGCGUGAAGGAAGAAGGCUUUCGGGUUGUAAACUUCUUUUGACCGGGAAGAGUAGAAGACGGUACCUGUCGAAUACGCCACGUCUAACUCCGUGCCAGCAGGCGCGGUAAUAUGUAGGUGGCAGGCGGUGUCCGUAUUUACUGGGUGUAAAGGGCGUGUAGCCGGGUUGACAAGUCAGAGGGGAAAUCCUGCGUCUUAACGGGAGAACUGCAUUUGAAAGUGUUGAUCUUGAGUACUGGAGAGGCAGACGGAAUUCCUGGUGUAGCGGUGAAAUGCGUAGAUAUUAGGAGGAACACCAGUGGCAAAGGCGGUCUGCUGGACAGCAACUGACGGUGAGGCGCGAAAGCGUGGGAGCAAACAGGAUUAGAUACCCUUGUAGUC
RNAcentral lists this ribosomal RNA (441 nucleotides) under uncultured bacterium. Its description in RNAcentral is "partial 16S ribosomal RNA". It matches the Rfam family "Bacterial small subunit ribosomal RNA", at positions 338 to 795 of the family's 1533-position model. The record is from RNAcentral.